RNAcentral lists this long non-coding RNA (545 nucleotides) under Zonotrichia albicollis (white-throated sparrow). Its description in RNAcentral is "lncRNA (ENSZALG00000016812.1)". The record is from RNAcentral. Lineage: Eukaryota; Metazoa; Chordata; Aves; Passeriformes; Passerellidae.
AUGAAGUAUAUGCUGCCACCCAUUUCAUUGCAUCAGUGGGGGACAACUUUUAGCGUGAAGUGAAACUGUGGAAACACUCUUGGAAACAACAAGGCUGUUCCUCAGCAGAGGGCUAGUUGAAUGGAAGCUCUUCAGCAUUGAGUCAGGUAAUCCUUUUCCUUUAAUGAAAAUUUAGCUUUAAUUUAUCAUUUUCAUGAUUCAUCAUUAUUUUUUUUUUCUUUUCCUUGGCUAAGAUUGAAGUUCUCCCUCUGCACCGAGACAAAUGGGAUAUCUCUGUGUUCUUGCUGCAGCCAGCCAUGAGCCUGCUAUCCAAACAUCCCUGUGGAACAAUUCAGCUCCGGGGGACAUCAGACCCUGCACAGCAAGGAAUAAACAUUAGAGAAGCCACAGGAAACAAAACAGAGACUCUGAAGUUCAUUCAAUGCAUUUGCUCCACUUAAAGUAGAUAUAAGUCUCCUGAAAAUGAUCUUGCUUGAGCUAUGAUUUUCUUUGCUCUCUCUGGUGUGCUGAUCCUGUCAUUGCUGUUAUAUAGUGCAAUAAUACAU